RNAcentral lists this ribosomal RNA (301 nucleotides) under uncultured Lactobacillus sp. Its description in RNAcentral is "bacterial SSU rRNA". It matches the Rfam family "Bacterial small subunit ribosomal RNA", at positions 494 to 794 of the family's 1533-position model. The record is from RNAcentral. Lineage: Bacteria; Bacillati; Bacillota; Bacilli; Lactobacillales; Lactobacillaceae.
CGGUGUACUACGUGCCAGUAGCCGGGGUAAUACGGAUGUGUCAAGCGUUAUCCGGAAGUAUUUGGCGUAAAGCGCGCGUAGGCGGUUUCUUAAGUCUGAUGUGAAAGCCCACGGCUCAACCGGGGAGGGUCAUUGGAAACUGGGAAACUUGAGUGCAGAAGAGGAAAGUGGAAUUCCAGGUGUAGCGGUGAAAUGCGCAGAGAUAUGGGGGAACACCAGUGGCGAAGGCGACUUUCUGGUCUGUAACUGACGCUGAUGUGCGAAAGCGUGGGGAUCAAACAGGAUUAGAUACCCGAGUAGC